GAUGAACGCUAGCUACAGGCUUAACACAUGCAAGUCGAGGGACCGGCGCACGGGUGAGUCACACGUAUCCAACCUGCCCUUUACUCGGGGAUAUCCUUUCGAAAGAAAGAUUAAUACCCGAUGUAAAGGAUGGGGAUGCGUUACAUGAGGUUGUUGGGGAGGUAACGGCUCACCAAGCCUUCGAUGGUGAGGGGUUCUGAGAGGAAGGCCCGCCACAAUGGAAACGAGACCCGGUCCAAACUCCUACGCGAGGCAGCGGUGAUGAAUAUUGGUGAAUGGGCGUUAGCCUGAACCGGCCAAGUAUCGUGAAGGAUGAAGGGUAAUGGGUAAUAAAUUUCUUUUAUAUUAGGAUAUGUAUUAUAUGAAUAAGGACCGGCUAACUCCGUGCCAGCAGCCGCGGUAAUUC
RNAcentral lists this ribosomal RNA (406 nucleotides) under uncultured bacterium. Its description in RNAcentral is "partial 16S ribosomal RNA". It matches the Rfam family "Bacterial small subunit ribosomal RNA", at positions 28 to 526 of the family's 1533-position model. The record is from RNAcentral.